AUUAGUCAUUACUCUCCGCUGUAAACAAACAGCGUCAUCAGCUUACGUGUGAGUGUGCAACAGAGGAAGUUUGUGCUCCUGACAGUCUUGAACGAACUGAGAAAAGUUUGACUAGGCUGCGGAUUAAAGGACAAAAGCUCUCUACUGAGGAACAAGAGUCUUGGACGGCCUGAGGGUGAGUACAUUUUCAGUUUUGGGCUUCUGGAUCUGAAUUCAUAAAUCAGCACAGCAACCGCAGCCACGCCAACCAGAGCAGAGAUAACCAAUCGGAUCACAGCUUCAGUAAAACCACAGCUGCAGAUAUAGACUUCUGAGAAAAGAAAAGAACGAUGUUGAUAUGAUUAAUUCGUUUUGUGGAAAAACAUAGUGCCACUGCUGUAAGGCUGGAAGAACCUCAGAUCUUUGAUCUUUGUACUUUGAUCUCCUGAGAUACGGCAAUACAAACAAAAAGCAUGUGUUUCCAGAUCUCACUGAGAGAAGACGCGUAGAAGCUUCUUUCUCACCUAUACAUUUGUUCUUUUUCACCCACUUCCUUCUCUUUACCAUCCUUCCCUUCACUCAGAAUGGUCAACAGCAUAAUCACUGUAAAAAAGUCCCGUAAAAAAAUGGUAA
Molecule: long non-coding RNA, 612 nt
Organism: Cyprinus carpio (common carp)
Lineage: Eukaryota; Metazoa; Chordata; Actinopteri; Cypriniformes; Cyprinidae
Exons: 3
Source: RefSeq, a predicted model, not a curated record